RNA transcript from Triticum aestivum (bread wheat), 1524 nucleotides. RefSeq lists it as uncharacterized. NCBI's taxonomy places the organism in Eukaryota, Viridiplantae, Streptophyta, Magnoliopsida, Poales, Poaceae. The record is from RefSeq and is a predicted model, not a curated record. The transcript is spliced from 10 exons.
CCUCCUCCUUCGGCCACCUCGCCCCACCAGCUUCCAGCGACGUGGAUCCGCCGAGGAUGGAGGGCAGCAAGUGAGAGGGAGCAGGAGAAGAGGUGAAUCGAGGGAGUGAAAGAAGGAUCUCACAGGGGAAGAGGAAGAAGGAGUCUAGCGGUGUAUCCUCGUCUCAUCCCUGGCUGCACCUCUUCUGAUGCCAUGGCACCAGUGGUGGCUCCUCGAUGGAGCACCUCCUUCCAUGACGGCACCACCAGCGGCUCUUGCUCGACGCCACGAUACACAACAUCGAGGCCACCCCUGAUGCUCAGGCUGAUGCUUCUUCGCUUGAUGCUGAAGAAAAGGAUGAUCAGAUUCAGACGCCCAAGAACAACAGGAUAUGAGUAGCAUUACUCAAAAUUUUGCUUUGAGAAGAAUCUAAUGAUGUAUCCAAUUUCACAUCCAAGCUACUAUGAAUAUUAUGAUUGAGCGACUGCUUGGCGAUGUCAUCGUCAGAGGCUCAGGCCUCCUCCCUGGACAAGGCACUCGUGCUAGGCGGAGGCGAUCUGUGCGCCGGUUCAAGAGGCGGUAAGACGGUCGCAAGAAUGCCAAGCUCUUCAGCUGUGGCAUCAUGCAAUAAUGGAAUUGAGCAUUCUGGGCAAAACAUAAAGGACAACGAAUAUGCAAGGGUAGUGGUACUCUCUCUGCUGUGGCUGCGUGUUCGACCGGCCAGCCAAGGAUCUCCAGCAAGCAUGUGCUCCUACUCUCCUUGCCCUUAAUUCCUGCCACAACAGCAGCUCCUGUGUAGUGUGAGCCAGAGAACUACUACACUAAUCAUGUUCCUGGCCUAGCAUGUGACAGUGGUGCCGCGAGGAUUUGCUGCCGUGGGAGGAGGGGCCCGACCCAGAUGGCGGCCACCAGUAGGUCACACACUUAUUCAGCUCGCCGUCUGGUUACUCUGAUGGCUUCUCUAAGGCGCUCGCAGAGGAGGCCAAGGGAUACAUGAUACUGUGUUUGGCUAAGGAGUCCGCAUUGAACGCCACAUAUCCGAUGCCAACACACCGAGGUUAUACUCCAAUCAAACAUGUGAAUAUUUACUUCAAGAUCGAUCCGACGAAAGCCGUCCACUGCCGCUCUGCUGUUGGGACUAAUUUGGACGGGAAUGGUGAUUUCAUGGUGAUUAUGAUUACUUGGUUGUUGCUCUUGGAGUUACUGUGAAUACAUUCAACACUCCUGGUGUGAUGGGGCAUUGCCACUUUCUGAAGGUCGUGGAGGAUGCCCGAAAGAUUCGGAAGAGCGUGAUAGACUGCUUUGAAAAGGCGUCACCUCCUAACCUCAGUGAAGAGGAGAGAAGGAAGAUCCUUCACUUUGUGAUUAUCGGUGGUGGACCUACUGGGGUUGAAUUUGCGGUGGAGUUGCAUGAUUUUCUUGUCGAAGAUCUGGUGAAGCUAUAUCCUGCAAUUGAAGAAUUUGUGAAGAUAACAAUUAUGCAAUCAGGAGAACAUAUAAUGAGGGUUGAAUGUUCCUGCAGUAAUAACCUUAGUUUUGGGCAAG